Molecule: ribosomal RNA, 456 nt
Filed under: uncultured bacterium
Lineage: Bacteria
Description: bacterial SSU rRNA
Rfam family: Bacterial small subunit ribosomal RNA
Source: RNAcentral
UACGGAAGGCAGCAGUGGGGAAUAUUGCACAAUGGGCGAAAGCCUGAUGCAGCUAUGCCGCGUGUAUGAAGAAGGCCUUAGGGUUGUAAAGUACUUUCAUCGGGGAGGAAAAACAAAACUAAUAAUUUUAUUUCUUGACGUUACCCGAAAAAGAAGCACCGGCUAACUCCGUGCCAGCAGCCGCGGUAAUACGGAGGGUGCUAGCGUUAAUCAGAAUUACUGGGCGUAAAGAGCACGUAGGUGGUUUUUUUAAGUCAGAUGUGAAAUCCCUGGGCUUAACCUGGAACUGCAUUUUGAAACUGGAAAUACUAGAGUAUCGUAGAGGGAGGUAGAAUUCUAGGUGUAGCGGUGAAAUGCGUAGAUAUCUGGAGGAAUACCUGUGGCGAAAGCGGCCUCCUAAACGAAUACUGACACUGAGGUGCGAAAGCGUGGGGAGGCAAACAGGGAUUAGAUACC